RNAcentral lists this ribosomal RNA (293 nucleotides) under uncultured bacterium. RNAcentral's name for it is "partial 16S ribosomal RNA". It matches the Rfam family "Bacterial small subunit ribosomal RNA", at positions 333 to 624 of the family's 1533-position model. The record is from RNAcentral.
CUUCUCCUACGGGAGGCAGCAGUGAGGAAUAUUGGUCAAUGGUCGGGAGACUGAACCAGCCAAGCCGCGUGAGGGAUGAAGGUACAGAGUAUCGUAAACCUCUUUUGUCAGGGAACAAAGGCGGGGACGUGUCCCCGGAUGAGUGUACCUGAAGAAAAAGCAUCGGCUAACUCCGUGCCAGCAGCCGCGGUAAUACGGAGGAUGCGAGCGUUAUCCGGAUUUAUUGGGUUUAAUGGGUGCGCAGGCGGUCUGUUAAGUCAGCGGUUAAAGCCCGGCGCUCAACCCCGGCCCGC